This 396-nucleotide unclassified non-coding RNA is filed under the name Hevea brasiliensis (rubber tree). The record is from RNAcentral. Lineage: Eukaryota; Viridiplantae; Streptophyta; Magnoliopsida; Malpighiales; Euphorbiaceae.
GGGGUACAAAGCUUUUCGAGAGAACAGCUCCUUCGACAUAUUGUGUACGUGAUCCUUACAGGAAAGAUCCUGGUGAUGCUAAUGCCAUUCUCUCCGCAGCUAGGGAAAAAAUUCGAAUGUUUAAAAAUGAGUAUGUGAAUGGAGAAGAAACAGAGGAUGUUGAGAAAGAGGUUGAAAGGGAUGAUGAGUCUGAAAGUGAUGCGGCUGAUGAUCCUGAAGUUGAUGAUUUAGUCUCCGAGCUAAAAUUUGCAGAGACUCCUGAGACUCAAAAAAUCGAUAGAACUGAUGGACGGAGUUCUAGUUUUGACUUGACUCAGACACCGGAAGAUCUCUGUAUGCAGAAUUCAACCGCAAUAAUGCAUUCAGUAAAUUUCGGGGAGUUAAAAGCAACUGCUG